Molecule: ribosomal RNA, 492 nt
Filed under: uncultured bacterium
Lineage: Bacteria
Description: partial 16S ribosomal RNA
Rfam family: Bacterial small subunit ribosomal RNA
Source: RNAcentral
AGUGAACGCUGGCGGUAGGCCUAACACAUGCAAGUCGAACGGCAGCACAGUAAUAGCUUGCUCUUACGGGUGGCGAGUGGCGGACGGGUGAGGAAUACAUCGGAAUCUACUUUUUCGUGGGGGAUAACGUAGGGAAACUUACGCUAAUACCGCAUACGACCUACGGGUGAAAGCAGGGGAUCUUCGGACCUUGCGCGUUUGAAUGAGCCGAUGUCGGAUUAGCUAGUUGGCGGGGUAACGGCCCACCAAGGCGACGAUCCGUAGCUGGUCUGAGAGGAUGAUCAGCCACACUGGAACUGAGACACGGUCCAGACUCCUACGGGAGGCAGCAGUGGGGAAUAUUGGACAAUGGGCGCAAGCCUGAUCCAGCCAUACCGCGUGGGUGAAGAAGGCCUUCGGGUUGUAAAGCCCUUUUGUUGGGAAAGAAAAGCAGCAGGUUAAUACCCCGCUGUUCUGACGGUACCCAAAGAAUAAGCACCGGCUAACUUCGUG